CUGCACUGAAUAACGUCAAAUUCCUCUCAUUUUCUUCAAGUGGCACGGAGUGGCACAACUUGGGAAAUAUUUAUCCUUCCUCAUUCCAGAAUUUGGUCGAACUAAAAUUUAAAGUGAAUGGUUGUAGCUGGAAUGUGCUACAAUACUUACUCCAAAAAGCUCCUAAUCUAGAAACUCUUGUUAUUACUAGGGGUUAUGAUUUCGUUGAAAGCAACUUAUAUUGGAAGGAGCCACAAUAUGAUCCUGCUAAUCUGUCAUCACUCACAAGUUUUUAUUACAG
Molecule: long non-coding RNA, 280 nt
Organism: Quercus lobata
Lineage: Eukaryota; Viridiplantae; Streptophyta; Magnoliopsida; Fagales; Fagaceae
Exons: 3
Source: RefSeq, a predicted model, not a curated record